UCCCUGGAGGCUCAGACAGUAAAGCGUCUGCCUGUAAUGCAGGAGACCCAGGUUCAGUCCCUGGGUUGGGAA
RNAcentral lists this transfer RNA (72 nucleotides) under Ovis aries (sheep). It matches the Rfam family "tRNA". Rfam says of the family: Transfer RNA (tRNA) molecules are approximately 80 nucleotides in length. Their secondary structure includes four short double-helical elements and three loops (D, anti-codon, and T loops). Further hydrogen bonds mediate the characteristic L-shaped molecular structure. tRNAs have two regions of fundamental functional importance: the anti-codon, which is responsible for specific mRNA codon recognition, and the 3' end, to which the tRNAs corresponding amino acid is attached (by aminoacyl-tRNA synthetases). tRNAs cope with the degeneracy of the genetic code in two manners: having more than one tRNA (with a specific anti-codon) for a particular amino acid; and 'wobble' base-pairing, i.e. permitting non-standard base-pairing at the 3rd anti-codon position. The record is from Rfam by way of RNAcentral. Lineage: Eukaryota; Metazoa; Chordata; Mammalia; Artiodactyla; Bovidae.